GACUCCAAGUCUCCAACCGAUCCGGCGUGCCACCACACGGCAACUACCCCGCAUCAUACACGCAUAGCGUACGCAACCACAGCCCACCGGUACCUCCCCGCCGCCCCACCCAACAGCCGCCAUGGCCUCGGAGGCUCGCAAGACCACCGCCGCAGCGCGCCCUCCUCCCCGCGACUUCCUCGCCCACCUCGAGGCCUACCUGGCCCGCCGCGACGGCGUCGACAAGCUCCUCAAGAUCUCACGCUACGCCGCGCGCCUCGCCCUCGCCGCAGGGCCGCUGCCCCCGCCGGCCUCCGCGCGCCUCAAGUCCUUCGAGUCCAGCCUCGGCCUCAGCCGCAAGGCCUUCCGCCUCGGCAAGUUCGUCCAGGACGUCAACGCCCUCCGCGCGCACCCCGGCCCCCUCCCUCCGCCCUUCGUGCUCCUCGCCUACGGCGGCGAGGGCGUCUACUACUUCAUCGAGCAGUUCGUCUGGCUCGCGAAAGCUGGCCUCCUCCCGGCGCACCUCCUCCCCCGCCUCCAGCGCCUCAGCGCCUGGGCCGAGCUGCUGGGCUACGCCGGCUCCAUCACCAUCAAGCUGGAAGAGGUGACGAAGAUGGAGUCUUCAAUCAAGAUGCGGCUGGCGGAGGGUUGUGGGGAGGAGAACGAGGCGGUGAGGACGAUGCGGGGGAAGCUGCUGCUGAAGCGUCUGUCCGUUGUGCAGGACGUGGCGGAUGCCUUCAUGGCGCUAGGGGACGUGACUAACGGGAAAGGGUUGCUCGGUAGCUCCACGCUGACGGCGUCCGCCGGAUUGCUGUCGGCGCUGAUCAGCACGCACAAGAACUGGAAUUCUUGCUGAAGUCCCAAGGCCUCUUGACCCUCUGCUACCAGGGGCGAGGUGUGAGUGACGUAGGGAGAAGUAGGUACUACGGAGCUGCAAGCAAUUCCGUCUCUUGAUUGAUUGCCAUAUAGGCAUUGGUGUUUAAAUCAACCAACCUGCUGCAUAAGUUUUGCAAACCGCUGUUCCAGCUGGCCAACUUGGGCAUUGUUGGUCCCAAAUGCAGAAAUGCUUGAGAUGCGGCUUUGCUCAAGAUUAUAUGAACUGUUAGAAAUAGUUUCAGAUUGAGAUGAAAGAACCUUACCGCUUUCUUACCCAGUGGAUCUUGAGAACAAAAAACUUGUAGUUAGAUAGAUGGCUGUGAAAGCACGCCGUGUGCCCCAGCUCUAUGUAACACGGUCCUGGAAGGAAAAAACAUUGUUGAGGUGAUCAAUUUUCAGCCCACUGUUGAGGCUUAAAAACAUAUAUAUAGCUGUAAAAGCAUAUUAGUAUUUGCUUAUAUUUUGACAGCAACGCGGUAGGUAUAGGAGAAACAGUUUACUACCUCUCGUGAUGGAUUGCCAUAUAUAUAGUCGUCCCUGUUGAAACCUGUCAACCAGCUGCAGAAUUUUGGCUAUUGGUGGUAGUGUACGCUCUAGAGGCAGGUUACAAGUGGACAACUGGGCGCUGCUGCUAAAUGGUUGGGACGCGGCUGUGAUCAGUGAGUGAGCUAGAUCGUGGACUGCUAUAUUAGUCUUGAAUUGAAUCAAUGAAAGAACAUUACCGCUUUCC
RNA transcript from Triticum aestivum (bread wheat), 1585 nucleotides. It is a transcript of the gene named peroxisomal membrane protein 11-3-like, with no coding region annotated. The record is from RefSeq and is a predicted model, not a curated record. NCBI's taxonomy places the organism in Eukaryota, Viridiplantae, Streptophyta, Magnoliopsida, Poales, Poaceae. The transcript has 3 exons.